UGUAGUCUUAGAGAGUUUCCUGGGGCACUGAAAGGCUAAGUGACUUACCUUGUUGUUCAUCCUCCAUUUUUAAAGAUCAAUGGCAUCACAAGGAAUGGUGUCUUGACUUGCACAGGAAUUGAGAGUUACACAAAGUCAUCAGCCCCAUUCUCUCUUUUCCAGAAUCAUUGAAGUCCAGAGGCAAGCCAACGUCAGGAUGAGGGUCAAUGGCCCAUGAUGCAAUCGAUGACCUUAGCAUCCUUGAUGUUUGAACAAGCUCUCAGCACUCCACAGUGCCUGCCUGCUUCAGCUGCUUUCAUGGACACUGGAAGAUUUUCUCAUCAGUCCAUUCCACUGGGUGGUCUUCAUAUGCUUGGUGUAGACCCUAGAUCACCAAUAGGUUUAAAGCCUCCUUCAGUCUGAUUUAGCCGGCCUGCUGAGAUGGUUUACCAGGCUGUGGCUACUGCUUAUGCUACAGAUUCUUGGAGCUACAGGGGAGAGUUGGAAGAAAGUUGGAAAGUUGGAAGAAGGUGGACACCAAAGAUGAGGAAACCGAGGCAAACAGGGUUAAGUGACUUGGCCAGGAUCAUGCAGCUAACUGAAGCCAGAUUUGAACUGAGGAAGAUGAGUCUUCCUAACUUUGAGUCUGACACUAUCCACUGUACCACCGAGAUGUCCUUUUCCCAUAACACCAAACCGGUCAUAACAGAAGGAGGCAUGAAUUAGGACAUCAACCGUAGAAGGCAUGAUGGACUCUUCCCACUGUUCUCAUGGUAGCCAGGCCCCAGACUAGAAUCUUAAGUCUGUUUCUGGACUCCACACCUGAAAAAAGACAUGGAAAAACUGAAAAGGUUCCAGAGAAGAGCUACAAAGAUAAUCACAGGAUUGAGAAAUCACAUCUGUGAGGGAACAUGAAAAGACUUGGGAUUAUUUUGCCCGGAGAAGAAACAGCUAAGAGGUGACUUAAUAAUAGUCUUCAAGUCCAAGAAGCAUUAUUACAUGGAACCAGAUAACCUGCUGCUCUCCUCUACUAAGGAAUGGAAAUGAGCUUGAUUUGGAAGCAAGAGGGAGGGAGAAAAAAGUGAUGGAACACUUCUGGGUGAGCUCAACCUAAUCAUUAUAAUUAUUGUUACUCACAGUUCCUUAGUACUUUAUAGUUUGCAA
RNAcentral lists this long non-coding RNA (1143 nucleotides) under Monodelphis domestica (gray short-tailed opossum). RNAcentral describes it as "lncRNA (ENSMODG00000041552.1)". Lineage: Eukaryota; Metazoa; Chordata; Mammalia; Didelphimorphia; Didelphidae. The record is from RNAcentral.